AACAUUAUAAAAGCGCCAGGACUUAUCCCGAGCGGUGGGGUAAGUUGACGAGGUGGAGGUUUAUCGAACCAUUCGGCGGAUGCCUCCCGAUUGCACACAUCUCAGUCGUCAUGUUUUAGAGCCGAAAGCAGAGAGGCGACUCUUUGGAUAAGGACAAAACAAGAUGUGAAA
This 171-nucleotide non-coding RNA is filed under the name Terribacillus aidingensis. RNAcentral's name for it is "GlcN6P sequence". It matches the Rfam family "glmS glucosamine-6-phosphate activated ribozyme aptamer". From Rfam's summary of the family: This entry contains a glucosamine-6-phosphate activated ribozyme that is found in the mRNA for GlmS. The record is from Rfam by way of RNAcentral. Lineage: Bacteria; Bacillati; Bacillota; Bacilli; Caryophanales; Bacillaceae.